UGUUGCAGAUCAUCAAGAACACGUAGAGAAACCCAGCUGUAAUCAUGCAUGGAGAUACACCUACAUUGCAUGAAUAUAUGUUAGAUUUGCAACCAGAGACAACUGAUCUCUACUGUUAUGAGCAA
Molecule: microRNA precursor, 125 nt
Filed under: Human papillomavirus 16
Lineage: Floreoviria; Shotokuvirae; Cossaviricota; Papovaviricetes; Zurhausenvirales; Papillomaviridae
Description: Human papillomavirus type 16 HPV16-miR-H3
Source: RNAcentral